This 398-nucleotide long non-coding RNA is filed under the name Rattus norvegicus (Norway rat). Its description in RNAcentral is "long non-coding RNA NONRATT006241". Lineage: Eukaryota; Metazoa; Chordata; Mammalia; Rodentia; Muridae. The record is from RNAcentral.
GCCUUCACCAGCUGCCAUGAGCGAGCGCCUCCGCCCCAGGUGAGAGAAGGGACCCACUUUCUCUACGGCCCCUCGGCCGAGGAUGUGCGCCAUGGAGCCGAGGGGCGCACGAAGCCGGGGUGGUGUGAGGCUCUUGUCUGCGCUGCUCUGCGGUCGGAGGAGGCCGGGAGAAGGUUGCGCGGCCUCUGACAACUGGACCCUGUGGGUAGCCAGAGAGGUGACUCUCUGGAAUCCAGGGCUACCCCUUCUCCGUCUUUUUCUUGUUUUCUUCGUCUUCUGCCCUUUCCACUUUGGAAUGAGAAAAAGGAGAAGAAAUGGCAGUGAUGAUGACAACCACCCUCCUCCACAGACCAAAAGGAGCAGUAGGAACCCCAUCUUCCAGGACUCCUGGGACACAG